This 459-nucleotide ribosomal RNA is filed under the name uncultured bacterium. RNAcentral describes it as "partial 16S ribosomal RNA". It matches the Rfam family "Bacterial small subunit ribosomal RNA", at positions 338 to 795 of the family's 1533-position model. The record is from RNAcentral.
CCUACGGGUGACAGCAGUGAGGAAUAUUGGUCAAUGGCCGCUGGGCUGAACCAGCCAAGUAGCGUGAGGGAUGACGGUCCUAUGGAUUGUAAACCUCUUUUGUCAGGGAGUAAAGUGCGCCACGUGUGGCGCUUUGCGAGUACCUGAAGAAAAAGCAUCGGCUAACUCCGUGCCAGCAGCCGCGGUAAUACGGAGGAUGCGAGCGUUAUCCGGAUUUAUUGGGUUAAAAGGGUGCGCAGGCGGAAUGUCAAGUCAGCGGUAAAAUUUCGGGGCUCAACCCCGUCGUGCCGUUGAAACUGGCGUUCUUGAGUGAGCGAGAAGUAUGCGGAAUGCGUGGUGUAGCGGUGAAAUGCAUAGAUAUCACGCAGAACUCCGAUUGCGAAGGCAGCAUACCGGCGCUCAACUGACGCUCAUGCACGAAAGCGUAGGUAUCGAACAGGAUUAGAUACCCCUGUAGUC